AUUGAACGCUGGCGGAAUGCUUUACACAUGCAAGUCGAACGGCAGCACGGGGCAACCUGGUGGCGAGUGGCGAACGGGUGAGUAAUACAUCGGAACGUGCCCAAUCGUGGGGGAUAACGUAGCGAAAGUUACGCUAAUACCGCAUACGAUCUACGGAUGAAAGCGGGGGAUCGCAAGACCUCGCGCGAGUGGAGCGGCCGAUGUCAGAUUAGGUAGUUGGUGGGGUAAAGGCUCACCAAGCCAACGAUCUGUAGCUGGUCUGAGAGGACGACCAGCCACACUGGAACUGAGACACGGUCCAGACUCCUACGGGAGGCAGCAGUGGGGAAUUUUGGACAAUGGGCGCAAGCCUGAUCCAGCCAUUCCGCGUGCAGGAUGAAGGCCUUCGGUUGUAACUGCUUUGUACGAACGAACGGCGAGCUCUAAUACAGUUGCUAAUGACGGUACCGUAAGAAUAAGCACCGGCUAACUACGUGCCAGCAGCGCGGU
Molecule: ribosomal RNA, 489 nt
Filed under: uncultured bacterium
Lineage: Bacteria
Description: bacterial SSU rRNA
Rfam family: Bacterial small subunit ribosomal RNA
Source: RNAcentral